RNAcentral lists this long non-coding RNA (709 nucleotides) under Homo sapiens (human). Its description in RNAcentral is "non-protein coding lnc-DNAJB9-5:2". The record is from RNAcentral. Lineage: Eukaryota; Metazoa; Chordata; Mammalia; Primates; Hominidae.
CAAACUAGCCCAGUGCUGUCAAAUCAGAUUAAUGGGGAUGCUUUGUCCUGACUUUCCACACACCAGAACGAUUAUUUAAUGAAUUAUUAUAUGACCAACCUAAUAAAAAGGAUGCAAACAAUCAUACUAACUAGUCUUCUUCUGUAAACAGAGCCUUAAAGUUCACUCCUACUGUAAGUGUUGUUCAGAAUGUAAUGGUUGAAGGACUGGAAUAUGUAGUUUAUCAGGAGAUCUAUGCCACAUAUUUCUGCUGUUGGCAGAAUCUAAUAGAGUAAGAAGAUAGAAAUUUGUGGAAUACUCUGUGGAAAGCUGCCACAUAAUUAACUUACUUCUAUCCGUGUAAUUGUGCCAAAGGAGUCUUCAGGACCAGACUCUUGGGAUGUGGAGAAUGCAAAAUAAUUAUUCAAUGUUCAGGAUCAGCAUGAUCUUCUUACUCUGAGAUGGGUCCAUACACACCUAACCCUUCAUCCAAAACUGAAUUAUUGUCCAGCAUUGAUCUUCACACUCACUGUUCCUAUCAGCUCGUGCUGCCAGAGGCUGUUGUCAUUGUCUGUUCAUCAAAGCAUAAAGACAUGCAUGGCAUCUCCCCGCUUACCAGUUCUGGCACGUUUGGGCUUUCCAGCUGACCACCAAGGAGCCCAGGCUGUUUAGUUUAUGUAAGUGUAUGUUGGUAAAAAACAUAAAAAUAAUUAUGCUGGAUCUGAGGUGA